GAUGAACGCUGGCGGCGUGCCUAACACAUGCAAGUCGAGCGAACCCUUCGGGGUGAGCGGCGGACGUGUGAGUAACGCGUGGGUAACCUGCCCUAUACACACGGAUAACGUACCGAAAGGUACGCGAAUACGGGAUAAUAUUGUUGGGUGGCAUCUUCUAACAAUCAAAGUUCGGGCGGUAUAGGAUGGACCCGGGUCGGAUUAGCUAGUUGGUGAGGUAAUGGCUCACCAAGGCGACGAUCAGUAGCCGACCUGAGAGGGUGAUCGGCCACACUGGAACUGAGACACGGUCCAGACUCCUACGGGAGGCAGCAGUGGGGAAUAUUGCACAAUGGGCGAAAGCCUGAUGCAGCAACGCCGCGUGAGCGAUGAAGGUCUUCGGAUCGUAAAGCUCUGUCCUCAAGGAAGAUAAUGACGGUACUUGAGGAGGAAGCCCCGGCUAACUACGUGCCAGCAGCCGCCGCUG
RNAcentral lists this ribosomal RNA (466 nucleotides) under uncultured bacterium. Its description in RNAcentral is "partial 16S ribosomal RNA". It matches the Rfam family "Bacterial small subunit ribosomal RNA", at positions 28 to 523 of the family's 1533-position model. The record is from RNAcentral.